Molecule: unclassified non-coding RNA, 266 nt
Filed under: rhizosphere metagenome
Description: partial ribosomal RNA internal transcribed spacer region
Source: RNAcentral
GAAAUAAACCUGAUGAGUUGCUGCUGGCUCUCCAGGGAGCAUGUGCACACUUGUCAUCUUUAUAUCUCCACCUGUGCACCUUUUGUAGACCUGGAUAUCUCUCUGAGUGCUUAGCACUUCAGGUUUGAGGAUUGACUUUAUUGUUCUCUCUUUAUAUUUCCAGGCCUAUGUUUCUUCAUAUACCCCAAUGUAUGUUAUAGAAUGUAGUAAAUGGGCCUUUGUGCCUAUAAACCUAUACAACUUUCAGCAACGGAUCUCUUGGCUCU